RNAcentral lists this ribosomal RNA (429 nucleotides) under uncultured bacterium. Its description in RNAcentral is "bacterial SSU rRNA". It matches the Rfam family "Bacterial small subunit ribosomal RNA", at positions 29 to 437 of the family's 1533-position model. The record is from RNAcentral.
AAUGAACGCUGGCGGCGUGCUUAACACAUGCAAGUCGCACGAGAAAUCUUUAGCUUGCUAGAGAGAGUAAAGUGGCGCACGGGUGAGUAACGCGUGGGUAAUCUACCCCCGAGUUUGGGAUAACAUUGCGAAAGCGAUGCUAAUACCGGAUAAUAUCUCUGUUUCUUCGGCGAUAGAGAUCAAAAGUAGCCUCUACAUGUAAGCUAUUGUUUGGGGAUGAGCCCGCGUACCAUUAGCUUGUUGGUAGGGUAAUGGCCUACCAAGGCUACGAUGGUUAGCUGGUCUGAGAGGAUGAUCAGCCACACUGGAACUGACACACGGUCCAGACUCCUACGGGAGGCAGCAGUGAGGAAUUUUGCGCAAUGGGGGAAACCCUGACGCAGCAACGCCGCGUGAGUGAAGAAGGCUUUCGGGUCGUAAAGCUCUGUC